RNAcentral lists this long non-coding RNA (1663 nucleotides) under Cucumis sativus (cucumber). RNAcentral describes it as "long non-coding RNA (CSAT_LNC001625)". The record is from RNAcentral. Lineage: Eukaryota; Viridiplantae; Streptophyta; Magnoliopsida; Cucurbitales; Cucurbitaceae.
GGAUAUGUGGCUAUAUGAGAUAUAGACACCUAGCCCACUAAGUUCCACUAAUUGUUAGUGGAACAUUAGGUGUUGAGAUUUGGCAAAUGAAUUGCAUGCAUUUUUGCAUGUAAUUAGGUUAUAAAUAGAGGUGUUUUCAAAUGUUGAAGAACUUUUGCCUCUUUUAUCAUUUUCAUCAUCUCAACAAAAGAAAAAAGAAACCUUCCAAUCCCAUUUUAUCUCCAUUACUUUCUACACCAAAAUUGGGUCCCACAACCCGGUUCUUUGUCUAGAGGAUAGCAGUUGAGUACUAGCGGUGGUCUCGGUUAGAAUUGGUAAGAAGAUAUCAAACCUUUUGAAAGCUUCAAAGGUAAUAUUUCUUAAAACCCUAAUUUGAUUAGUUUAUGGUUACAUGUUAAUUGUGGCAAUUAGGGUAGAAAUUCGAUUCUUUUUCCGCUAUGCAUGACUUAGUUCUAUCAACCUUGACUUCGUCUCCCGCGGUAAACAGUGUCUCCAAGCCAGUCUCACAACUCGCGUUCCAUGGCGGCUCAUGUUUGAUUUCCACUUCUUCACGUCCUUCUCUUCUCAGAUUUGCCGUAGCUACCUCUGUUGUAAAACCCACCGACAACGAAGUCCUCCGUUUGUUGUUCUCAGUUCAGGCAUCACUCAAAUCCAUUUACGCAUCUUCUUCUCUGUUCAUCGUCGACCUCUAAUCCACACAGAUUUGUAGUACCUCCACCCACAUUUGAUUUAUACCAGAUUCGCAAAUGAAUCCUCUCACAAAUGUGCAUCUCCGCUCUUCUCACCUUUGAAACCACCGCCCACCGAUGAACGACGUCGUCAUUCCAUCUGUUCAUCUGCCUCUCAUCAAUCUCUUCCAGUUUCGCCGCCUCCAUGUUCGCUCUCUAUUUGUGAAGCUCGCUACCAUGAAACUCAGCUCCUCGGAUUUCCUCUAUUAAUCCGCUGCUGCUAUAACUCGUUGUCCCUCUCCAGUUGUCACGAGUAGCAGAUCUCUGUCAAUCUCUUACUGACGCACGAACUAAACCACCUUUGUUCUAGAUCUCCGACGAGGUCUCUGAAGCAAACCUAACCGGUUCCAUAUCUAUUAGUUUUUGUUCAGAUCCACGUUUUGAUGCUCCGUCAGCUUUGCUCCGAUCGAAUUCGACUCCGUUUGCUCGCCACCACGAAUCUUUGGUUGUGUUUGUUCAUCUGUCUAUUGUGAAAAGCUAUGCUUAUCUUCACCUACUAUGGUUUAGUUCGUUCCAUUCCAGUGCGAUCAGAUGACAGCUUUCGUCCUGCUCCGACUCUGCUUCCAUUCGAUCCCGACGAAAGGCAUAAUUCAGAUCUCGCUUUUGUCUUAUUCCAAUUCUACUCCAUUUUCCUUUGCUUUGCUUAAAGUUUGUUUUAGCUUGUUUGUGUUUGUUUUUCGUGCGUUUCUAAUUCUAUUCUAGAUUUCUUAGUUUUUAGCAAACUCAAGUUUGUGAUUUCAACCUUAAGAUUGAGGGAGGGUAAUAACGUGAUAAGAUUAUUUUUAGGUCAUAUUAUUGUGUAGAUAUUGUUUUGAUAUUAUUUGCUUAAGUGUAUUUCUAUUUAGUUAUAUAGAGGCUUGUAUCUCUACUAAAUUAUGAAUGAAAUAAAGAUUUAUUUCAUAAAUUUAAGAGAAAUUUUUAAAAAUCAAUUUAUA